This 915-nucleotide long non-coding RNA is filed under the name Homo sapiens (human). RNAcentral's name for it is "non-protein coding lnc-BARHL2-1:2". Lineage: Eukaryota; Metazoa; Chordata; Mammalia; Primates; Hominidae. The record is from RNAcentral.
CCCCACUGUGAGAUUCAAUGAUUCCUUGGUGGAGAAAGAAGCAUUUGAUGUGGAGCCUGACACACCUGAAUGGAUGAACUAAUAAAUGAUUAAGAAGUAAGUACACCAGCAAGUUUCUUGUGCCUGGACUAAAGAUGGAGUAUAGGAUGAGUAGUAGAAGAUGUAACAACUGGGACUGGAUUACAGAUGGUCUUUGUAUUAGUCUAUUCUCACACUGCUAUAAAGAAAUACCUGAGACUGGGUCAUUUAUAAAGAAAAGAGAUUUAAUUGGCUCAUGAUCCUGCAUGCUGUACAGGAAGCAUGAUGCUGUUGUCUGCUUGGCUUCUGGGGAGGCCUCAGGAAACUUAACAAUCAUGGCGGAAGGCGAAGGGGGCACAGGCAUGUCACGUGGCCAGAGCAGGAGCAAAAGAGGAGGAGGAGGUGCUACACGUUAAACAUCCACAUCUCCCAAGACUCACUCACUAUCGUGAGGAUAGUACCAAGGGGAUGGUGCUAAGCCAUUUGUGAGAAAUCUGCCCCGUGAUCAAAUCACCUUCUACCAGGCCCCACCUCCAACACUGGAGAUUACAAUUCCACAUGAGAUUUGGGUGGGGACACAGAUUCAAACCAUAUCGGUCCUGUGGGCAAGGCAGUGCCCUGAAGACUUUAAAGUAAGAGAAGAACAUGACUCCGUUGGUGCACAGUGCAUCUUGCUGGAUGCUGGGUGCUUGGAGAACUGCUGGUUCCGGGUGGGCGCAGGCAAAGUCCAUUAUUUAUAAUUUUAUAUUAUUUGUAGCACCUAGCAUGGUGUUAGACCCAUAGUAGAUGUUUAAUAAAUAUUUAAUGAAUGACUGCUUUACCUGCUUAAUUAUGUAAAAGUCUUAUCUGAAAAUAUCAAGAUUUAAAAAAACCCACAAAUAUAAAAUUUAACUAUAG